UACGAAGGGGGCAAGCGUUGUUCGGAAUUACUGGGCGUAAAGGGCUCGUAGGCGGCCAACUAAGUCAGACGUGAAAUCCCUCGGCUUAACCGGGGAACUGCGUCUGAUACUGGAUGGCUUGAGUUUGGGAGAGGGAUGCGGAAUUCCAGGUGUAGCGGUGAAAUGCGUAGAUAUCUGGAGGAACACCGGUGGCGAAGGCGGCAUCCUGGACCAACACUGACGCUGAGGAGCGAAAGCCAGGGGAGCAAACGGG
This 253-nucleotide ribosomal RNA is filed under the name uncultured bacterium. RNAcentral describes it as "partial 16S ribosomal RNA". It matches the Rfam family "Bacterial small subunit ribosomal RNA", at positions 524 to 776 of the family's 1533-position model. The record is from RNAcentral.